RNAcentral lists this ribosomal RNA (562 nucleotides) under uncultured bacterium. RNAcentral's name for it is "bacterial SSU rRNA". It matches the Rfam family "Bacterial small subunit ribosomal RNA", at positions 65 to 626 of the family's 1533-position model. The record is from RNAcentral.
AACGGAAAGGCCCUUUCGGGGGUACUCGAGUGGCGAACGGGUGAGUAACACGUGGGUGAUCUGCCCUGCACUUUGGGAUAAGCCUGGGAAACUGGGUCUAAUACCGAAUACACCCUGCUGGUCGCAUGGCCUGGUGGGGGAAAGCUUUUGCGGUGUGGGAUGGGCCCGCGGCCUAUCAGCUUGUUGGUGGGGUGAUGGCCUACCAAGGCGACGACGGGUAGCCGGCCUGAGAGGGUGUCCGGCCACACUGGGACUGAGAUACGGCCCAGACUCCUACGGGAGGCAGCAGUGGGGAAUAUUGCACAAUGGGCGCAAGCCUGAUGCAGCGACGCCGCGUGGGGGAUGACGGCCUUCGGGUUGUAAACCUCUUUCACCAUCGGCGAAGCCGGGGGCUUUUGUUUUCGGUGACGGUAGGUGGAGAAGAAGCACCGGCCAACUACGUGCCAGCAGCCGCGGUAAUACGUAGGGUGCGAGCGUUGUCCGGAAUUACUGGGCGUAAAGAGCUCGUAGGUGGUUUGUCGCGUUGUCCGUGAAAUUCCCUGGCUUAACUGGGGGCGUGCGG